RNAcentral lists this ribosomal RNA (921 nucleotides) under uncultured Bacillota bacterium. RNAcentral describes it as "bacterial SSU rRNA". It matches the Rfam family "Bacterial small subunit ribosomal RNA", at positions 1 to 917 of the family's 1533-position model. Lineage: Bacteria; Bacillati; Bacillota. The record is from RNAcentral.
UGGAUCCAGACUUUGAUUAUGGCUCAGGAUGAACGCUGGCGGCGUGCCUAACACAUGCAAGUCGAACGAAGCUUGACGGAUGAUUUCUUCGGAAUGAAACCAGAUAUGACUUAGUGGCGGACGGGUGAGUAACACGUGAGCAACCUGCCUUUCAGAGGGGGAUAACGGCUGGAAACGGUCGCUAAUACCGCAUGAUGUGUUCGGAUGGCAUCAUCUGAACAUCAAAGAUUUAUCGCUGAAAGAUGGGCUCGCGUCUGAUUAGAUAGUUGGUGGGGUAACGGCCUACCAAGUCUACGAUCAGUAGCCGGACUGAGAGGUUGAACGGCCACAUUGGGACUGAGAUACGGCCCAGACUCCUACGGGAGGCAGCAGUGGGGAAUAUUGCACAACGGGGGAAACCCUGAUGCAGCAACGCCGCGUGAAGGAUGACGGUUUUCGGAUUGUAAACUUCUUUUCUUAGUGACGAAGACAGUGACGGUAGCUAAGGAAUAAGCAUCGGCUAACUACGUGCCAGCAGCCGCGGUAAUACGUAGGAUGCAAGCGUUAUCCGGAUUUACUGGGUGUAAAGGGGGCGCAGGCGGGACUGCAAGUUGGAUGUGAAAUACCGUGGCUUAACCACGGAACUGCAUCCAAAACUGUAGUUCUUGAGUGAAGUAGAGGCAAGCGGAAUUCCGAGUGUAGCGGUGAAAUGCGUAGAUAUUCGGAGGAACACCAGUGGCGAAGGCGGCUUGCUGGGCUUUAACUGACGCUGAGGCUUGAAAGUGUGGGGAGCAAACAGGAUUAGAUACCCUGGUAGUCCACACUGUAAACGAUGAUAGCUAGGUGUGGGGGGGUCUGACCCCUUCCGUGCCGGAGUUAACGCAAUAAGCUAUCCACCUGGGGAGUACGACCGCAAGGUUGCAACUCAAAUGAAUUGACGGA